Molecule: long non-coding RNA, 1077 nt
Organism: Vicia villosa (hairy vetch)
Lineage: Eukaryota; Viridiplantae; Streptophyta; Magnoliopsida; Fabales; Fabaceae
Exons: 3
Source: RefSeq, a predicted model, not a curated record
UUUGAUUCUCUAGUUGGAGCAGCAGCAUUUGGUUGGAGCAUGAGUCUUUCAAACCCACAAAAAGUCAGGUUAAGCACCUGAAAAUCAAGAAUACCUAAAGCAAACGGGUGAGAAGAGUUUUGUAUGCAUAAGAGAUGCAACAAUUGCCUACAUGAACGAGAAAAAAAAAUACAAAAAGCUUUUUAUGCCGUGCUUGUAGGGAUCAAAAGUUGGUCACCUUGCAGUCCGUAAGUUAUUUAAUUUACAAAAUGUGAGUGUAUUAGUUAAAAUAAAUUGUUGAGUAGUGAUACUAAUUUUAUUAUCUAAUAGGUUUUUACUUCAAAUUUUUAUUAUCAAUAUUUAAUAUUUAUUUAAAGUUGUUUAUUUUCUCUUGCAGUGGUGAUCAAUUUCUGUAAUUCCAUUUAUUGGGACAGAGUUCUUGAUAGAGGAAAUGACCAAAAAAAUUGAAUUGGAAAUCACAAGGCCGCAUGAAUCUUGGUUUCAAGGAGUGCAGGUGGCGGGAUGGACCCAAGUAUACGGGAAUAUUCUAACAUUUGCGACAAUAAAAGGCGCAGGUCAUAUUUAGACGAUGCUUUUCCACCGGAGAGAAUAUUUGUGAUGUGGAAGACAUUUUUGGAAGGAAAACCACUUCCAAUACUUGGGAAUAUUCUAACAUUUGCGACAAUAAAAGGCACGAGUCAUAUUCAUCCGAAGCUUUUCCACCGGAGAAAACAUUUGUGAUAUGGAAGACAUUUUUGAAAGGAAAACCACUUCGAAAGAGACCCCAUUCCAUUAUUAAAAAAAGAUAUUAAGAAAAAAAAUACAAUUAUAUAACAUUAUUUAAGCAAAAAGUACAAUUAUGUAACAUUAGUUUUUUUUUUGAAUACAUUUGAUGUGAUUUUAAUGAAGUGUGUAUUGACUGGUAUUUUUUAUAAAUAGUAAUUAUAGAAGCAAUUCAUAACUAGAUUAUAGUAAAAAAUUACUCGGAUUAAUAUUACAAAGAUAAAUUUAUUAUCAGUUUAUUAAUCAUAUUUGAAGCUGAGGCUGAACAAUAGUCAUAUAAACAAUGUUUAAAUUGGUUAUAGAUUAAUGAAAGAA